AAUAUUGGACAAUGGGGGCAACCCUGAUCCAGCCAUGCCGCGAGUGUGAAGAAGGUCAUCGGAUUGUAAAGCACUUUAAGUUGGGAGGAAGGGGUUGAAGCUAAUACCUUCAAUCUUUGACGUUACCAACAGAAUAAGCAACGGAUAAAUCUGUGACAGAAGCCGCGGUAAGACAGAGGGUGCAAGCGUUAAUCGGAAUUACUGGGCGUAAAGCGCUCGUAGGUGGUUCAGUAAGAUGGAAGUGAAAUCCCCGGGCUUAACCUGGGAACUGCUUUCAUAACUGCUGAGCUAGAGUACGGUAGAGGGUAGUGGAAUUUCCUGUGUAGCGGUGAAAUGCGUAGAUAUAGGAAGGAACACCAGUGGCGAAGGCGACUACCUGGACUGAUACUGACACUGAGGUGCGAAAGCGUGGGGAGCAAACA
This 422-nucleotide ribosomal RNA is filed under the name uncultured bacterium. RNAcentral describes it as "partial 16S ribosomal RNA". It matches the Rfam family "Bacterial small subunit ribosomal RNA", at positions 360 to 774 of the family's 1533-position model. The record is from RNAcentral.